CUGUACCUCAUUGGUCCAGAACAAAUAUUGACACUGUGCCCAAAUGACGCAACAAAUCAUGAAAUCGACCCAUGGACAGUCAUAAGACCAAUAAAAUACACCUAUUAUGACUAUUUGUUCUUGUGAGAAAAAAUUAUUGACUUUGUAUUUUGAUCGCAUUUGUACCGUAGACUUACAUGGAAACCGGAUAUGAAAACACCUAUACUGGAGCCAUCCGUAGUGGCGCUAGUGAGCAACCAGGAACUACAACACCAGGAAAUGAGCUUCAAAAACGAAGUCUGGUUUUGGCCGCUUGGUUCAAGCCUGGUUGUGACUCCUGGAAGGAAAGGGCCCAAUUUGCUUGCGUGGAUGUUCAAAUGAAAGGAAAAGGGGAAAAAAGAAAGGACAUGUUCAAUAAAUGAAGGAAAUGUCACAAAUGUCAA
Long non-coding RNA from Anguilla rostrata (American eel), 422 nucleotides. RefSeq lists it as uncharacterized. NCBI's taxonomy places the organism in Eukaryota, Metazoa, Chordata, Actinopteri, Anguilliformes, Anguillidae. The transcript has 2 exons. The record is from RefSeq and is a predicted model, not a curated record.